AACCUGCGGAGUCUAAGUAUAAGCAAUUAUACAGCGAAACUGCGAAUGGCUCAUUAUAUAAGUUAUCGUUUAUUUGAUAGUGCCUGUCCUACUUGGAUAACCGUGGUAAUUCUAGAGCUAAUACAUGCUAAAAAUCCCGACUUCGGAAGGGAUGUAUUUAUUAGAUUAAAAGCCAAUGCCCUUCGGGGCUCCCUGGUGAUUCAUAAUAACUUCACGGAUCGCACGGCCUUGCGCCGGCGAUGGUUCAUUCAAAUUUCUUCCCUAUCAACUUUCGAUGUUUGGGUAUUGGCCAAACAUGGUGGCAACGGGUAACGGAGGGUUAGGGCUCGACCCCGGAGAAGGAGCCUGAGAA
RNAcentral lists this ribosomal RNA (352 nucleotides) under uncultured Hypocreales. RNAcentral describes it as "SSU rRNA". It matches the Rfam family "Eukaryotic small subunit ribosomal RNA", at positions 57 to 402 of the family's 1831-position model. Lineage: Eukaryota; Fungi; Ascomycota; Sordariomycetes; Hypocreales. The record is from RNAcentral.